UCCCCGAUAGCUCAGCUGGUAGAGCGACGGACUGUUAAUCCGCAGGUCGCAGGUUCGAGCCCUGCUCGGGGAGCCA
RNAcentral lists this transfer RNA (76 nucleotides) under Gulbenkiania mobilis. RNAcentral describes it as "tRNA_Asn_GTT". It matches the Rfam family "tRNA". Rfam says of the family: Transfer RNA (tRNA) molecules are approximately 80 nucleotides in length. Their secondary structure includes four short double-helical elements and three loops (D, anti-codon, and T loops). RNAcentral also lists the same sequence under 2 other names. Lineage: Bacteria; Pseudomonadati; Pseudomonadota; Betaproteobacteria; Neisseriales; Chromobacteriaceae. The record is from RNAcentral.